UUCAAAUCUUUCUUCAAACUCCUUCCACCGAUUACAGAGGAAUAAAGGUUAAUAAAGUGUGCUCAAUAGCUCUAAUUAAAAAACAGAACAAGGACUAGAACUAGUAUUGUAAAGUGGAAGGAAGAUGCCCUCUAGUGGUAAAUAUUAAUAAAGAGAAAAAAAGAAGUGACCCGAAGUAUUUUCUAAGAAAAUUAUGGACAACUUAUUGUAAAUAGAAGGUAGGUAGAGCUUACACCCGUCACUAAUAGAAAACCUGAUUCCUGUUAA
This 267-nucleotide long non-coding RNA is filed under the name Sus scrofa (pig). RNAcentral describes it as "lncRNA (ENSSSCG00030067616.1)". The record is from RNAcentral. Lineage: Eukaryota; Metazoa; Chordata; Mammalia; Artiodactyla; Suidae.